CCUCCCAGACCCUCCCACCUCCUGGACAGCAUCCAUUUUGAAGACAGCUUCAAAAUGGAUGCUGUCCAUGAGGUGGGAGGGUCUGGGAGG
This is a non-coding RNA of Pelobates cultripes (western spadefoot toad), 90 nucleotides long. NCBI's taxonomy places the organism in Eukaryota, Metazoa, Chordata, Amphibia, Anura, Pelobatidae. The record is from the annotation of a GenBank genome assembly.